RNAcentral lists this long non-coding RNA (202 nucleotides) under Mytilus galloprovincialis (Mediterranean mussel). The record is from RNAcentral. Lineage: Eukaryota; Metazoa; Mollusca; Bivalvia; Mytilida; Mytilidae.
CUCCUAUUUAUUUGUAUUGUAGUCCUGUAAUAUUAUGUUGUCAUUUCAAUGUUAUAUUUAACUUUGCCAUUAAAGUGCGAGGUUUGGCAUGCCUUAAACCAGUUUAACCACCACUUUUAUUCCCUUUAAAAGUGUCCUGUACCAAGUCCGGAAGAUGGUCAUUGUUAUAUAUUGUUCGUUUCUCUUUGUGUUGCAUUUUAAC